Molecule: ribosomal RNA, 497 nt
Filed under: uncultured bacterium
Lineage: Bacteria
Description: partial 16S ribosomal RNA
Rfam family: Bacterial small subunit ribosomal RNA
Source: RNAcentral
GACGAACGCUGGCGGCGUGCCUAAUACAUGCAAGUUGAGCGCUGAAGGUUGGUACUUGUACCAACUGGAUGAGCAGCGAACGGGUGAGUAACGCGUGGGGAAUCUGCCUUUGAGCGGGGGACAACAUUUGGAAACGAAUGCUAAUACCGCAUAAAAACUUUAAACGCAAGUUUUAAGUUUGAAAGAUGCAAUUGCAUCACUCAAAGAUGAUCCCGCGUUGUAUUAGCUAGUUGGUGAGGUAAAGGCUCACCAAGGCGAUGAUACAUAGCCGACCUGAGAGGGUGAUCGGCCACAUUGGGACUGAGUCACGGCCCAAACUCCUACGGGAGGCAGCAGUAGGGAAUCUUCGGCAAUGGACGAAAGUCUGACCGAGCAACGCCGCGUGAGUGAAGAAGGUUUUCGGAUCGUAAAACUCUGUUGGUAGAGAAGAACGUUGGUGAGAGUGGAAAGCUCAUCAAGUGACGGUAACUACCCAGAAAGGGACGGCUAACUACGUG